AGAAAAAAUGUAUCUAAUUAGACCAAAUAUGUAUGUUAGCAUACUAAAAAUAACAACAAAAUAGAAUUAUCAAUUUUACGUUAAAUCCAUAAUUGAAUAAACAAGAGACAAAUAACUACUUUUGUAACGUUAAACAAGAUAUAAAUUUUUGUAACGUUAAACAAGAUACAAAAAAAUUUUGUCAGAUCUUUUUUGCAUAAAUAAGAUACAGAUCUUUUUUGUUAGAUCAAUUGCAAGGAAUGCUCAAUGACAUACCAUGCCAUAACUGAAAUAACAGUACACUUGUCCUUGUAGAUUUGCCCAACCUUAACUUCACUAUUUUUGCAACCUGUAAUGAUCUUGUUCCUCUUCAUAUCGAACAACGGCAACGAAAGGGGUUUGGGUGAUUAUGGUAUAAUAUCGUUAAUCCAAACGGCGAAAUGAUGUAAGAACACUGAAAUAUUCAUUGCAAUUGAUGAAAGAAAAUCAACAAAUAAAAAACAAGAGGUCCUAUGAGUUUUUUUUGAUGGAAUGUAUGAACUUUCAUUGCAAUUGAUGAAAGAAAUCGACGAAUAAAGAAAAAAGAGGUUGUGUGAAUUUUUUUGGUGGAACGUAUGAACUUUUUGCAACCUGAAAACUGAUUAUGGAAAGGUUCUUGUUUAAAAUGGUGGAAUAACAAACUAAUUACCAUAUAUCGUGG
This 679-nucleotide long non-coding RNA is filed under the name Capsicum annuum. RNAcentral's name for it is "long non-coding RNA (CANN_LNC015883)". Lineage: Eukaryota; Viridiplantae; Streptophyta; Magnoliopsida; Solanales; Solanaceae. The record is from RNAcentral.